UCUCCGUAGGGGAACCUGAGGAUGGAUCAUUACUGAGUGAGGGCUCACGCCCGACCUCCAACCCUUUGUGAACCAAACUUGUUGCUUCGGGGGCGACCCUGCCGACGACUCCGUCGCCGGGCGCCCCCGGAGGCUCAUCAAACACUGCAUCUCUGCGUCGGAGUCUUAAUGAAUUUAAACAAAACUUUUAACAACGGAUCUCUUGGUUCUGGCAUCGAUGAAGAACGCAGC
RNAcentral lists this unclassified non-coding RNA (231 nucleotides) under uncultured fungus. Its description in RNAcentral is "sequence contains ITS1, 5.8S rRNA gene". The stretch from base 183 to 231 matches the Rfam family "5.8S ribosomal RNA", at positions 1 to 49 of the family's 154-position model. Lineage: Eukaryota; Fungi. The record is from RNAcentral.